AAAGCGCGAACCAAAGGACGCAUUUGUCCCCGCCUCUUCAGCCUAGCAACGGGACUGUUUUAUAUUUCGUCCGGAUUUGUAAGCAGAAUAAUGGCAUGGGCGUAACCGAGCAAAUCCCUUGGGUGGAUCCAAUAAUCCUCUCCGCUUUGACUGUGUUCUUCAGCUCCCUCACCUUCAUCUGUCCGUCACGAUCUACGAUCAAUCCUGGAUCCUAACAUAUGGCGGAACUUCUUGCAUUCACGUCCUCUGUAUCUAAAGCACGAGAUAUUAAAAAGCCAAUGGGAGUGAUCUUUGAGAGCUCAGUUUGGGAACCGAAUCCAUUCUUGUUCAUCUUCCUUUUCUUCUGUUGCUGCUUCUCAAAUCUCAAUCUUCCCUCUUCCUUGUGCCUCGAUCUUCAACAGACCUUCAACAAUAUUCGACCGUGAAAUUUCUUCCUUUCCACGGAAACUUCAUCUUUCUUUACUCUCUUGCUUCAGUGGUGGAAGAUCUGUGGUCAGCAUUGGGAGAGUUUGAGUUAGUUUCUCUAAUGGAAUCCGAAGGGAGCUAAUGGUCAUGUCUCUUUGUUAGGGAUAUGCAUCGGCCGCCUUAGCAGGCCCUUUCCUUGGCGUGCUCGCGGAUUUAAUGCAAGUAUCUAGUUGAAGUCGCUGAUGAUCACCUAAAAUAUUUCUUUGUAAUCCAGCGCUUAAUAAUACAAGUUCCAAUUUCUGCAUGCAUAUUUGUAUUGCAGUAAUGCUGUAUUAUGAUUUGUUUUGCCGUGAAUGUGAUUUUCUUCUUUAGCGCGCUUCUUUGCAGUUAGCAAUAUAUAUUGAAGUAUUUUCGGUUGUAUUUCAGUAGACAUUAAUUACGAUGAUACUAAAAGAGAACAAACUUGCAUCAGUCUUUGCAUGGCCAAUUAUUAGGAAUUAGAAUGGUUAUAUAGUUGGAACUAUAUAUUUUGUGGUGUCUAGCUCUUAUUCCAGUGGACUGUUUUACUUUUUGAUGUCUCCACCGAUUCGGUCAAGAUAUCAUCCUGCAUGUCAUUUGAAUUUUCAAGCAUGUCUCCCUCCCUAUGUUAGACAUGAACCCUCCUAAUUAUUGUAUCUUCAAGACAGGUACAUGUUUUUUUCAUUUUUCUUUUUUCCCAAAAAAAAUAAAACAGAGACACAGAGAGAGAGAGAAGGUGGUGUUCUGAUGUUCUGACAUGAUGAAACUGACUUAGUUAAUAUAUUUUUAGAGGUCACAAGAAAGUUUGUCUGGUCUUUUUGUUCUACACUUCUUGGUUGGCAUAUGGGAGAGGAUGUUGGAAAAUCAAAGCAUUUUUGUGACUCGGAUGUGUCUAUCACUUACCAAUACAGUAUUUUUAUUUACUUUCGUGACUUGGUUUAUCACUAAACAUGAAGAGGUAAAGAAAAUACUUUCUCCUGUUAUGUUGAUUUUCAGAGACACAGAUUUUAGUAUAGAUAACUUUGCCAUGGGCAGUGACUGAGAUCGGGGUUUAUUCCAUUAAACAACACUUGAUCCAGAAUUUUUAACUGUAUUUGGCAAGUAUGUGAUUUCCUAUGACAGAAUAUAGAGAUGAAAUAUUAAUGUGGACUCUCAUGUAUUUUGGUUGCAGCAAGGGCAUAGGUUAGAUUCACUUAAUGACGCAUUUUGGUUAACGACUUUCUUUGAGUCUGCAUGUUCUAUUGCUGCCCAAAUGUUAGCAAAUUGGCUGCGUGGCUAUGAUGCGGAGAGAAACAUUGCUUUUCCUUCCAUGAGGGAUAUCUUCUUAGCAAUAAUAUCAAUUGCUUUUCUCUCUAGAGGAUGGACAGAAAUCCCACAAAGAGCAUCUUUUAAGGAGUGCAGUAUGUCCUUCUAUGCAUAUAUAAUUGGUGGCCAUCAUCGUGGGAAGUAAGGAGCGACAAGAUGGAGCCACCGGUGACACCCGUACAGGAGGGAGGAAAAUACAUUUCAGAACCAAUGAAGCUCAACUUUUAGGCAGUGCAGAACUAGACAGGCUUGUGGUAAGUAAGGGCCUGCUGAUAACUGAUUGACACUUCAAAUUCAAUGUCUGUUUCAUCCCUUUGAUCUUUAGGAGAAUAUCACCAAAGGACCACUGGAGCUAUUUUAUAUCAAAGAAGAGCUUUAAGAUUAUAAUUUUUCACUGCACCCCCUUAGUCCCUAGCUGCAAUAAGUUUUUAUGGGAAAUGACCGAAUUAUCCCUAAAAUUUAAAGUAACAAGUGUUCAUCCUACAUAAGCAACAAAUCAUUUGAGUUUUGAUAAUAAUUAAUUCAUAAUUAACAAUACAUUUGAAAUUUAACAAAAUUGAAAAAACAACAUGAGUUUAAUGAAACAAGUGUUCACCUUGCACAAAAAUAAUUCAUUUAGAUUUUGACAAUAACCAAUUCAUAAUUAACAACAACACAUUUAGAAUUCAACAAGAUUGAAAAACUAACAAAACAUAGGUUUAAUAGAACAAGUGUUCAUCUUACAUAAACAAAUUGUUCAAAUUUUGACAACAAUAUAUUUGGAUUUUAAUAAGGUUGAAAAACUGAUAUCAUGAGUUUCAUAAAACAAGUCAUUUGGGUUUUGACAACAAUAAAUUCAUGCUUGAAAACACAUUUGGAUAUUAACCUCUUUCAUUAAAAAGGAAAAUUAAGUCAUUUCUUAUAAAAAAUUAUUUUUAGCUAAGGACCAAAAGGUGCAGUGAAAUAUUAAAAUCUUAAGGCCCUUCUUUGAUAUAAAAUAUUUUUAGUAGUCCUCAAGUGAUAUUUUCCCUAGAUCCUUUGUGCAUAAGACCAUGGUCCACUGGAGCAUGUGGGCCAUCAGUAGGUAUGCAGGAGUAGAGGCUUCAUCGUUGUAGCUUGUUUCCUUUUGCUGCAUGUUGCUGUUUGGACUUGUGCUUAUGGAGAUCUAGCCGACCAAGUAAAGCAUUUGAAGCCGCAAUUACUGUUAUGAAGCUCUUGGCUAAAAAAAAUUUAAGCAGCCAGCCAUGAGUUUUUUAUUAACUGAAGCCACAAUUUAGUUCGUGGUUCUACUUGAACUUCUCCCACCAAAAUUUUGGCUAGUUGGCGGUUGGUUUGAAAACUUGGGAAAUUGUUUUUCCACCGUGAUAUACAUAUAGUGACAAAUAAAUAGAAUAUUUUAAGCAUUAGUGGGACUUCAGGUUGUCAUGGGCUUCUGUUUGAUGCAGAGGCAUCGUCUUGAUUAUAUUUAGCAUUAGAUAGACUGCAUUAUUUGCCCCCAAAAAAAAAAACGUUGUAGAUUGCAUUAUUGAGGAAACCCGUUAUUGUACAUAGAUGUUUCAGUGUAUAUAUUUUGGAGAUCUCGCAAGAAUUCGAAAACUAUAAAGCUUUUCACAAGCUGUUGUAAAA
This is a long non-coding RNA of Prosopis cineraria, 3333 nucleotides long. RefSeq lists it as uncharacterized. The transcript is spliced from 3 exons. The record is from RefSeq and is a predicted model, not a curated record. NCBI's taxonomy places the organism in Eukaryota, Viridiplantae, Streptophyta, Magnoliopsida, Fabales, Fabaceae.